AACGAACGCUGGCGGCAUGCCUACACAUGCAAGUCGAACGAGACCUUCGGGUCUAGUGGCGCACGGGUGCGUCACGCGUGGGAAUCUGCCCUUGGGUUCGGAAUAACAGUUGGAAACGACUGCUAAUACCGGAUGAUGACGUAAGUCCAAAGAUUUAUCGCCCAGGGAUGAGCCCGCGUAGGAUUAGCUAGUUGGUGGGGUAAAGGCCUACCAAGGCGACGAUCCUUAGCUGGUCUGAGAGGAUGAUCAGCCACACUGGGACUGAGACACGGCCCAGACUCCUACGGGAAGCAGCAGUGGGGAAUAUUGGACAAUGGGCGAAAGCCUGAUCCAGCAAUGCCGCGUGAGUGAUGAAGGCCUUAGGGUUGUAAAACUCUUUUACCCGGGAUGAUAAUGACAGUACCGGGAGAAUAAGCCCCGGCUAACUCCGUG
RNAcentral lists this ribosomal RNA (432 nucleotides) under uncultured bacterium. RNAcentral's name for it is "partial 16S ribosomal RNA". It matches the Rfam family "Bacterial small subunit ribosomal RNA", at positions 29 to 507 of the family's 1533-position model. The record is from RNAcentral.